CAGUGGGGGACAACAGUUGGAAACGACUGCUAAUACCGCAUAAUGUUUCUGGACCGCAUGGAUCUGGAAACCAAAGCUUUAUGUGCUGAGAGAUGGCCUCGCGUCUGAUUAGCUAGUUGGUGGGGUAACGGCUCACCAAGGCGACGAUCAGUAGCCGGUCUGAGAGGAUGAACGGCCACAUUGGGACUGAGAUACGGCCCAGACUCCUACGGGAGGCAGCAGUGGGGAAUAUUGGGCAAUGGGGGAAACCCUGACCCAGCAACGCCGCGUGAAGGAAGAAGGCCUUCGGGUUGUAAACUUCUUUUACCAGGGACGAAGAACGUGACGGUACCUGGAGAAAAAGCAACGGCUAACUACGUG
RNAcentral lists this ribosomal RNA (360 nucleotides) under uncultured bacterium. RNAcentral's name for it is "bacterial SSU rRNA". It matches the Rfam family "Bacterial small subunit ribosomal RNA", at positions 134 to 507 of the family's 1533-position model. The record is from RNAcentral.